AAUGAGCCACAUAUGCAACAAUGUCUUUCUUCAUUCUACGCCACCAAUAAUGCUGUCUCAAACCCCCGAUACAUCUUUGCGGUGCCCAGAUGAAUAGAAUACCGAGAACUGUGGGCCUCCCCUAAGAUCGACUCUCGAAUACCAUCAACAUUGGGCACACAAACUCGCCACUGCAACCUCAAUAUGCCAUCAUCUCCCAAAGUCAUCUCCUUGGCACCUCCCCUCUGCACCGU
RNAcentral lists this long non-coding RNA (233 nucleotides) under Nicotiana benthamiana. RNAcentral's name for it is "long non-coding RNA (NBEN_LNC000963)". The record is from RNAcentral. Lineage: Eukaryota; Viridiplantae; Streptophyta; Magnoliopsida; Solanales; Solanaceae.